Molecule: long non-coding RNA, 2159 nt
Organism: Homo sapiens (human)
Lineage: Eukaryota; Metazoa; Chordata; Mammalia; Primates; Hominidae
Exons: 2
Source: RefSeq, a predicted model, not a curated record
GGACAUAGAUGAAGCUGGGAGCCAUCAUACUCAGCAAACUAACACAGGAAUAGAAAACCAAACACCGCGUGUUCUCACUCAUAAGUGGGAGUUGAACAAUGAGAACACAUGGACACAGAUUUGCUGUCUGGAGAGAUAUAUGAAAUUUAAAGAUGGCAAUCCAUUCCCUUCCCAUCAUGCUUCUUUUUCUACAGGUAAGCAUUUUUCAUUUCUCUAACUUUCCAACUCUUCUCCCAUAUCCUAAUAUUCCAAAGCUUUAUCAUUCUAUUUAUAUAUCUUUGCACACACUUUUUUUUUAUUUCAAUUUGAUCCUUAAAUUGCGAAGUUCAAACUAAGCAUAAUGCAUUAGGUACAUUCUUACUUAGAGCAAUGUGUGGGCAGCACUGGAUUUUUCUGGGCAUGCGUUUGUCGCAAGGCAACUUAACUUCAAAUUAACUCUUAUUAGAGACAUACACUUUUAUGACUAAUAGUCUUCUUAUAAUCACGCCAUCUUCCAGUGUAUACUUACAUGAUUUAUUUACUUUUUAAAUCUGAAAAUAGAAUAUUAUACUUUUUCUAAACACGAUGAAAUGAAAACAAGACAUAUGAUUUAUCCUAAAAGAAUUGAUGAGCCAGUAGGGGGCACACAGGAAACAUCUAGGAAACACUACACUGUGAAAUAUUCACUUAAAUGAAUGAACCAAGUAUAUUGCAAAGGAGAAUUAAAUAGAUACCUUAAUAGAGACAAAUAACAUGGUAUAGCAGAAAAAGGAAAAGAGUUUCAUUUCCACAUAAAAUUUCAAGAAAGUUUUUAUUGCAUAAUAAAUUUUACUAAGUUUGGAAGGAAAAAAUAUAGAAGCAUUGUAUUGCAUUAUUGUUUUUGGUUUAUUUGUUUUUCUCUCUUAUUUGAUCAUGUUUAUUUUAUAGUAGAGACCUAACCUAAUAUUUAAUGUCUUUAAUACCAAAUAUAGUGCCUAGCCUAGUGCAGUUAUCAUAUUCAUGUUGAAUUAAUGAGUAAAUGAUGGAUAUUAUUGGAAAAAGAUACAAGGUUAGAAAAAUGUUAGUAAUAAAAUGACAUGGUAGAUUCUUUGUUUACUGUAAUUUUAAUGCAGGUUUCAUGAGGACCUUGGUUUUCAAAAAAGACCAUCAAAAGGUCAGUUAAUGUCAACAUAAUGGCAGUUGUGUUUGCCAUGGUAAGAAUGUUACUGUGUGGAGGUAGGAGAUGAUCUUAAAGACAGGUGUGACAUGAUAGGCAUUGUCUUCUAUGAAUAUGCUACUUAGUAAGGAAAAGGAUACACUUGAAAAUUUAAAUAGAGUGGGAAGAUGAGAUCAGAAACUAUUGUAAUCAUGAAGACAGAAUGUAAAGGGUCAGAAUUAGGGCAAUAUCACAAGACAUUUGUAAAAAGUUUUAUUAGAUAUAAUUCACAUCAUAAAGAUUCAGAUUACAGAUUUCCUGGAUGACUUUUUAGUUGAAAUGGUAGGAAAACAGAAGUUUAGAAAUCUACCCUGUGUAUCUGAGAAGACUAAUGUGACUCAAGAAAGUCCUGAUGUUCAAUACCCUAUUUAGUGUAUUAAAUGCAAUGAAUUUUUCUAAGUAAUUCUUGUAUUACAUUUAUAUGUACUCAAAGGUAAGGUAUUUCUUUUCCUGUGUUCCUGGUCAUCAAUUUAUUUAUUUAUUAAUUUAGGAAAACAUUUAUUUAGUCACUCAUUUAAACUAUAUGUUUUAAACCGUUGUAGACUAUAACACCACAAUGGGGUACCAGACAGCUAUAUUCUACAUAAAAUUGUUUUCAAAGUUUCCUGAUGUCAAUUUAUCUUCCAGAGAAACCCAGAAAAGGGGGAACUAUUGAAUUUCUAUCCUGUUAACAAUAACUUUCACUAGGUUUUUCUCAAAUCCAAUGCCUACAAAUUGCCCAGACUCUCUUCUGAGCUAUCCAACUAUAUCCCAAAUCCCCAAUAAAACAAUAAUUUGAAUAAAUAUGCUAUUGGAUAUAGUGUAUAUUUAUAAACUAUGAUAGUAUCAAACAGGCUUACAAUUUUUGUUGCUUGUUAAUGCAGUUUUUGAAUUCUUUAACUUAUAUGAUAUAAAGAGAAGCGAUUUCUGUAGAAUUUCAUUCUCCCGAAAAUGUAUCUUAUGACACACUGAAUGAAAAGCAAUAAACACACUGUUAAGCAGAAAA